UCGCCUACAUGAAGCUGGAGUUGCUAGUAAUCGCGAAUCAGCAUGUCGCGGUGAAUACGUUCCCGGGCCUUGUACACACCGCCCGUCACACCAUGAGAGUUGGCAAUACCCAACGUACGUGAUCUAACCCGCAAGGGAGGAAGCGUCCUAAGGUAGGGUCAGCGAUUGGGGUGAAGUCGUAACAAGGUAUC
RNAcentral lists this ribosomal RNA (191 nucleotides) under uncultured bacterium. RNAcentral's name for it is "partial 16S ribosomal RNA". It matches the Rfam family "Bacterial small subunit ribosomal RNA", at positions 1312 to 1500 of the family's 1533-position model. The record is from RNAcentral.